GUGAGGAGUUCGGACUCCGGACCGGCAUUUGUUUGUACCCUGAGGUAAGUAAACUUUACAUUUUUGAAACGAUAUUACUGAAACAUUUAGUAUAAUUAAUUAAUAUUUAUUUUGUUAGAGUAUGUGUUGUGCUAAAUAGUGAUACUAGAAGCUACAUUUAUAAUAUUUACCUCAGGUAAAAAAUACUGCUGGUAACGUUGAAGCACUUGACGGGCUUCGUCAACCGUCAGUUAUAAAAGCUCUGUUAAAUACAUUUUGUUCCGGGUUUUAAUGAAUUACGUUACAGUCCUGCUUUAUUUCUUUGUCAUUUUAAAUUAAAUUGCCAAUCAGAAUAAGACAGCUGUGUUGUAAGGAGACGAAAUUCGAGACAGUCAUUUCAGUGAAGCGCGUGGUCAAAGGAACCGGGUGGAAGACGGUAGAAGGGAAAUUAUAUGUAACAGUUAGUUAAAUGUUUGUCGCAGUUUUACACAUAUUCCGUGAGUAUUUUUCGCUUGUUCACGAGUGUUUUAUCAGGGUUGGAGCUAAACUCGGAAGGAAAGUGGAAACUGCUGGCCAAAGUUGAGAACAUUCCGCCGGUCUGUAUUAUAAAUGCACGAUUGCAGUGCAGCGUUUGUAUCCGCAACAAGUCUAACGUUAGAUAUGCAUGUUUUCUGUGAUGCACACAAAUAAUUAAUGUGAUGGUAGCUGUUAAGACACUUACAUUUAACAUUCAAAUGUUUUAAAAACCAAACGUGUUCAUGUUUUUAUGUGUAUUUGGUUUGUGAAGUGUAAUUUAUGCUUUUUUCCUCUCCCCCACAGAUAACCAUGGUUAAUAAAUGAUCAGACACGUCACUGGCUUUAAAAUAUAAACCCCAUUGAUGCAAAAAGAUGCUGCAUGGAAUGACAAUGAGGUUUGGAACAGACUUGGUGAAGAACAUGGAAACGUCUCUAAAUAAAAUGGCCCCAAACAUCAUCAGGAGUGCAAAAGAAGGAAGUAAAAAACAUCUCUACGCCAAUCUCAUUGGAGAGGAAACCACAGAAGGUCUGGUGAGGAAUGCUGCACUUAUGUUAUUGCCAGCAUUAUUUCAAGAAAAUCCCAGCUUCCUUGACUGUGUAAAUAGUGAACCCAAAGGUCCCACACCAACCAUAGUGUUCAACGGCUCUCCUGAUCUUCUCAAAUCUGAAAGUCGGAGAAGCGGACCGCCCCUGUCGCGGAUCACGCUCCUCCUAGUUCCACCUCGAGGAGGUCCCAAAGCACCCCAAUGACCAGACAAACCAGAGAUAAGUAAAAUAUAAAAAUAGAAACUUUAUUUAAAUUAUUUAAAACUAAAGUGGGGAAUGGGAAUCUAAAAAUCUCGCUUCUCGCCCUCAGGGGGAGUAUUACGGGGCCAGGGACGUUGGAGGGGUUUCCACGUGACUCCAGCUGGAACACCGCUAGAGAGCGUAUCUGGGUGGGUUGGGCACACACCGUCGCGGCGGCCCCUGAUGGCAUCCACAAAGGUCCAAGACCCUCCUAAGCUCCCAGCCGUAGCAGAACUACGUAUUUCAGCACCCGAACGACUAACAACCCAGCCGGCAUCUGCAGCGUAUAUCCAACGCGAUCAAACUUCACUCUGACAAGUAACUUGCUAUACACAACCACGCCGUCCUUUCGCCCGGACCAGCCCCGCACUCUUUCCGCCCGCUACCUAGCGGUCGCCGGAUCAGCAGAGCCUGCGGACUCUUCGGACUCUGCGACCCUUACAGUAACUUCUACCUUCUCUCUUUAUAUCCUCCUCCAUGGCGUGGCUCGCCCAACCAUCGCUCGCCAUGUCACUCACACAGCUGUGCCUUGUUUCAGUGAGUGCGGGGAUUCCCGGGGAACCCGGAAGUGCCGGUGUCUGUACAAACCGGUCCGGGCGGAACCUCUUCACUCUCCUUUUGGUUCCGCCCCGCAUAGUCACUCCGUGACAACUGUUUGCGUUUUUUUUUCUCCUCAAUGUUCAAUACCCUUUUGCCAUUAAGCACACAGUGACAUUAAUUUAUAAAAUAUAUGCUUAAGUUUUAAUACCUGUACAAAACAAAUGUACAAUCAACUUGUGUAAAUUGUCAUUUUAUUUAAUAGAUUGUUCAUGAAUUGU
This is a non-coding RNA of Misgurnus anguillicaudatus (oriental weatherfish), 2099 nucleotides long. The record is from RefSeq and is a predicted model, not a curated record. Lineage: Eukaryota; Metazoa; Chordata; Actinopteri; Cypriniformes; Cobitidae.